Molecule: ribosomal RNA, 125 nt
Filed under: uncultured eukaryote
Lineage: Eukaryota
Description: partial 18S ribosomal RNA
Source: RNAcentral
CUACCGAUUGAACGGCUCAAUAGAAGUCUCCGAGAUCGACUUCGAGGGAGCCGGCGACGGCACCCUGUCGCUGAGAAGCUGAUCAAACUUGGUCGUUUAGAGGAAGUAAAAGUCGUAACAAGGUU